AAGCUCUCCAAAUAAGCAUGGCACGAUUUGUUAUUAAUUGCCAGAGGACUUUUUCGGAAUGCACAAGACUAGCUUUGUCGGACAAUGUGGAGACAGACUCUGGGCCGAUUAUUACAAGGAUGGAGACGAUGCAGAGAAGUAUUAGUUGGGCAAGAGGGCGAUUGAUUGAGCCUGACUUGGCAGAUGAAAUGCAGGAUAUCAUUUCCGAGUUUCUUCAAGAGUUGAGAACACUCACUCAGCAGCAAGUUGGCCAAGGCUACCGGGC
Long non-coding RNA from Conger conger (European conger), 265 nucleotides. RefSeq lists it as uncharacterized. NCBI's taxonomy places the organism in Eukaryota, Metazoa, Chordata, Actinopteri, Anguilliformes, Congridae. The record is from RefSeq and is a predicted model, not a curated record. The transcript is spliced from 3 exons.